RNAcentral lists this ribosomal RNA (468 nucleotides) under uncultured bacterium. RNAcentral's name for it is "partial 16S ribosomal RNA". It matches the Rfam family "Bacterial small subunit ribosomal RNA", at positions 28 to 507 of the family's 1533-position model. The record is from RNAcentral.
GACGAACGCUGGCGGCGUGCUUAACACAUGCAAGUCGAACGGAAAGGCCCUGCUUUUGUUGGGUGCUCGAUUGGCGAACGGGUGAGUAACACGUGAGUAACCUGCCCUUGUCUUUGGGAUAACUUCAGGAAACUGGGGCUAAUACCGGAUAGGAGCUCCUGCUGCAUGGUGGGGGUUGGAAAGUUUCGGCGGUUGGGGAUGGACUCGCGGCUUAGCAGCUUGUUGGUGGGGUAGUGGCUUACCAAGGCUUUGACGGGUAGCCGGCCUGAGAGGGUGACCGGCAACAUUGGGACUGAGAUACGGCCCAGACUCCUACGGGAGGCAGCAGGGGGGAAUAUUGCACAAUGGGCGGAAGCCUGAUGCAGCAACGCCGCGUGCGGGAUGACGGCCUUCGGGUUGUAAACCGCUUUCGCCUGUGACGAAGCGUGAGUGACGGUAAUGGGUAAAGAAGCACCGGCUAACUACGUG